Molecule: ribosomal RNA, 164 nt
Filed under: Colletotrichum magnum
Lineage: Eukaryota; Fungi; Ascomycota; Sordariomycetes; Glomerellales; Glomerellaceae
Also listed under: 1 other name
Description: 5.8S ribosomal RNA
Rfam family: 5.8S ribosomal RNA
About the family: 5.8S ribosomal RNA (5.8S rRNA) is a component of the large subunit of the eukaryotic ribosome. It is transcribed by RNA polymerase I as part of the 45S precursor that also contains 18S and 28S rRNA. Functionally, it is thought that 5.8S rRNA may be involved in ribosome translocation.
Source: RNAcentral
AAACUUUUAACAACGGAUCUCUUGGUUCUGGCAUCGAUGAAGAACGCAGCGAAAUGCGAUAAGUAAUGUGAAUUGCAGAAUUCAGUGAAUCAUCGAAUCUUUGAACGCACAUUGCGCCCGCCAGCAUUCUGGCGGGCAUGCCUGUUCGAGCGUCAUUUCAACCC